GUGGGUAUAGCUCAGUCGGUUAGAGUGCCAGGUUGUGGCCCUGGAGGUCGUCGGUUCAAUUCCGACUAUCCACCCCA
Molecule: transfer RNA, 77 nt
Filed under: Oscillospiraceae bacterium
Lineage: Bacteria; Bacillati; Bacillota; Clostridia; Eubacteriales; Oscillospiraceae
Description: tRNA-His
Rfam family: tRNA
About the family: Transfer RNA (tRNA) molecules are approximately 80 nucleotides in length. Their secondary structure includes four short double-helical elements and three loops (D, anti-codon, and T loops).
Source: RNAcentral